This 254-nucleotide ribosomal RNA is filed under the name uncultured bacterium. RNAcentral describes it as "partial 16S ribosomal RNA". It matches the Rfam family "Bacterial small subunit ribosomal RNA", at positions 524 to 776 of the family's 1533-position model. The record is from RNAcentral.
UACGUAGGCAGCAAGCGUUGUUCGGAGUUACUGGGCGUAAAGGGUGUGUAGGCGGUUAUUUAAGUUUGGUGUGAAAUCUCCCGGCUCAACCGGGAGGGUGCGCCGAAUACUGAAUGACUUGGAGUGCGGGAGAGGAAAGUGGAAUUCCUGGUGUAGCGGUGAAAUGCGUAGAUACUGGGAGGAACACCGGUGGCGAAGGCGGCUACCUGGACCGGUUCUGACGCUGAUGCGCGAAAGCGUGGGUAGCAAACAGG